GCGGGUAUGGUUUAGUGGUAAAACGUAUCCUUCCCAAGGAUAAAAUACGGGUUCGAUUCCCGUUACCCGCUCCA
RNAcentral lists this transfer RNA (74 nucleotides) under Candidatus Staskawiczbacteria bacterium. RNAcentral describes it as "tRNA-Gly". It matches the Rfam family "tRNA". From Rfam's summary of the family: Transfer RNA (tRNA) molecules are approximately 80 nucleotides in length. Their secondary structure includes four short double-helical elements and three loops (D, anti-codon, and T loops). Further hydrogen bonds mediate the characteristic L-shaped molecular structure. tRNAs have two regions of fundamental functional importance: the anti-codon, which is responsible for specific mRNA codon recognition, and the 3' end, to which the tRNAs corresponding amino acid is attached (by aminoacyl-tRNA synthetases). tRNAs cope with the degeneracy of the genetic code in two manners: having more than one tRNA (with a specific anti-codon) for a particular amino acid; and 'wobble' base-pairing, i.e. permitting non-standard base-pairing at the 3rd anti-codon position. The record is from RNAcentral. Lineage: Bacteria; Candidatus Staskawicziibacteriota.